RNAcentral lists this ribosomal RNA (257 nucleotides) under uncultured bacterium. Its description in RNAcentral is "partial 16S ribosomal RNA". It matches the Rfam family "Bacterial small subunit ribosomal RNA", at positions 524 to 780 of the family's 1533-position model. The record is from RNAcentral.
UACGUAGGGUGCGAGCGUUGUCCGGAAUUAUUGGGCGUAAAGCGUGCGCAGGCGGUUUUGUAAGCCAGAUGUGAAAUCCCCGGGCUUAACCUGGGAAUGGCAUUUGGGACUGCAAGGCUCGAGUGCGGCAGAGGAGACUGGAAUUCCUGGUGUAGCAGUGAAAUGCGUAGAUAUCAGGAGGAACACCGAUGGCGAAGGCAGGUCUCUGGGCUGACACUGACGCUCAUGCACGAAAGCGUGGGGAGCAAACAGGAUUA